Molecule: ribosomal RNA, 686 nt
Filed under: Salmonella enterica
Lineage: Bacteria; Pseudomonadati; Pseudomonadota; Gammaproteobacteria; Enterobacterales; Enterobacteriaceae
Also listed under: 1 other name
Description: partial 23S ribosomal RNA
Rfam family: Bacterial large subunit ribosomal RNA
Source: RNAcentral
CCCUUUGGGUGUGACUGCGUACCUUUUGUAUAAUGGGUCAGCGACUUAUAUUCUGUAGCAAGGUUAACCGAAUAGGGGAGCCGGAGGGAAACCGAGUCUUAACCGGGCGUUAAGUUGCAGGGUAUAGACCCGAAACCCGGUGAUCUAGCCAUGGGCAGGUUGAAGGUUGGGUAACACUAACUGGAGGACCGAACCGACUAAUGUUGAAAAAUUAGCGGAUGACCUGUGGCUGGGGGUGAAAGGCCAAUCAAACCGGGAGAUAGCUGGUUCUCCCCGAAAGCUAUUUAGGUAGCGCCUCGUGAAUUCAUCUCCGGGGGUAGAGCACUGUUUCGGCUAGGGGGCCAUCCCGGCUUACCAACCCGAUGCAAACUGCGAAUACCGGAGAAUGUUAUCACGGGAGACACACGGCGGGUGCUAACGUCCGUCGUGAAGAGGGAAACAACCCAGACCGCCAGCUAAGGUCCCAAAGUCAUGGUUAAGUGGGAAACGAUGUGGGAAGGCCCAGACAGCCAGGAUGUUGGCUUAGAAGCAGCCAUCAUUUAAAGAAAGCGUAAUAGCUCACUGGUCGAGUCGGCCUGCGCGGAAGAUGUAACGGGGCUAAACCAUGCACCGAAGCUGCGGCAGCGACACUGUGUGUUGUUGGGUAGGGGAGCGUUCUGUAAGCCUGUGAAGGUGUGUCGUGAGGC